Molecule: long non-coding RNA, 728 nt
Filed under: Rattus norvegicus (Norway rat)
Lineage: Eukaryota; Metazoa; Chordata; Mammalia; Rodentia; Muridae
Description: long non-coding RNA NONRATT011564
Source: RNAcentral
CAGUCCAAAUAGAUCAAAGAUCUCAACAUAAAGCCAGAUACACUAAAUCUGAUAGAAGAGAAAAUGGGAAAUUGUCUUGAACGCUUGGGUGAAAGAGACAAGUCCUGAAUAGAACACCAAUGGCUCAGGCACUAAGAUCAACAAUUAAUGAAUGGGACCUCAGGAAACGGAAAGAUUCUGUAAGGCAAAGAACACUGUCAAUAGGACCCAAUGUCAACAUAUAGAAUGAGAAAAGAUCUUCACCAACCCUAUAUCCAACAGAGGGCUUAUAUCCACAAUAUAUGAUGAACUCAAAGAAUUAGACACCAACAAUCUAAUAACACAAUUAAAUAUGGGUUACAGAGCUAAGCAGAGAAUUAUGAGCAGAAGAAUCACUAAUAUCCAAUAAACACAUAAAUGUUGAACAUCUUUAGUCAUCAGGGAAAUUUAAAUCAAUGACCCUGAGAUUCCAUUUUAUACCCAUCAGAAUGGUUAAAAUCAAGUGAUAGCUCAUGCCGUUGAGGAUGUCGAACGGGAUGACAUUGCCUGUGGGAGUACAGACUUGUGCAACAACUUUGGAACUUAUGGUUUCUCAUAAAAUUGGGAAUGGUUCUACCGCAAGACCCAGCUAUACCACACUUGGGCAUAUACGCAAAAGUUGCUCCACCAUACCACAAAGACAAUUACUCACCUCUGUUCAUAGCAGGCUUUUUAGUAAUAACCAGAAACUGGAAACAACCUAGAUGUCC